Rhinichthys klamathensis goyatoka is the source of this 855-nucleotide long non-coding RNA. RefSeq lists it as uncharacterized. The transcript has 3 exons. NCBI's taxonomy places the organism in Eukaryota, Metazoa, Chordata, Actinopteri, Cypriniformes, Leuciscidae. The record is from RefSeq and is a predicted model, not a curated record.
AAAUCUAUGUGGAGACAUUUGUUUGUCUUAAAACAAAUAUAAAACAUUGUCCAAUGCAUCUGCAAAAAACAUAAUUAGUCAUUAUAACAUGUACAACAUUGCAUUAACAUUAUUUUUAUUUGCAAAAUGAAGCUGUGUAUUUAUUUCUGAUUUCCUGAAAAAUUUGGCUUCAUUAUGUAAAUGAUCUUUUUUUGAAAAGUUUUGGGGAAAAAUACAUGUUAUGAACAAAGUUACUUUGUCUUAAGCUGACCAGACAAUUAUCGUAGUGUGUGCUGAUUGGUGUUUAUAGUAGUUCAAGCUUGACAACAUUAUUGCCGUAUGUAUGCAUAUAUAAUUCUUUUUUUUUUUUUUCAUAUUAGUAUUUGUUGUUUUUCAGACCAGCUGCUAUAGAAGAAAAACUGAAAUCUGAGUGCAGAGACAAGCGAAGAAGAGAGUAAGUGCUGUACAGUGACGACAGACAAGAGGAUAAAGCUUGCUGAGGAGGAUAUAGCCAAAGCUUUUAAAGAUCCUCUGAUAAAGCAGUCUUCAAAUACUACAAGCCCCAGUUGCAGAAAAUGAGUCGAACUCAGAGAAGUGAUCGUCUACUUGAAGAUGAAGAUGUGACAUUCAAACUCUUCUGUUUCUUUGGUUCAGCCAUUUGUAGGCCUAAGUUUGUAAAUAAUGCAUUAUUCACUUCUGCACAUUAUUUUUCUGAAACUUUUUUUUUCUUCUUCAGAAAAUUGCAUUGUGAUGCUUAUUUAGUGAUGUAAAAUUCAUAGUGUACGUUUCAGUAAUACAUGUAUAACUGAAAUGUUCUACAAAAAAAUUAUAAAUAUAGCUCUGCCAUAGCAUUUCACUGAUCUUUUUAAUUUACUU